GGCGAACGCUGGCGGCGUGCUUAACACAUGCAAGUCGAACGGUAAGGCCCUUCGGGGUACACGAGUGGCGAACGGGUGAGUAACACGUGGGUGAUCUGCCCUGCACUUUGGGAUAAGCCUGGGCAACUGGGUCUAAUACCGGAUAGGACCAUGCGCGUCACGGCGUGUGGUGGAAAGCUUUUGCGGUGUGGGAUGGGCCCGCGGCCUAUCAGCUUGGUGGUGGGGUAAUGGCCUACCAAGGCGACGACGGGUAGCCGGCCUGAGAGGGUGACCGGCCACACUGGGACUGAGAUACGGCCCAGACUCCUACGGGAGGCAGCAGUGGGGAAUAUUGCACAAUGGGCGCAAGCCUGAUGCAGCGACGCCGCGUGAGGGAUGACGGCCUUCGGGUUGUAAACCUCUUUCAGUAGGGACGAAGCGCAAGUGACGGUACCUACAGAAGAAGGACCGGCCAACUACGUGCCAGCCGCCGCAGUAA
RNAcentral lists this ribosomal RNA (478 nucleotides) under uncultured bacterium. RNAcentral's name for it is "partial 16S ribosomal RNA". It matches the Rfam family "Bacterial small subunit ribosomal RNA", at positions 28 to 523 of the family's 1533-position model. The record is from RNAcentral.